CCUACGGGGGGCAGCAGUGAGGAAUAUUGGUCAAUGGGCGUAAGCCUGAACCAGCCAAGUCGCGUGAGGGAUGAAGGUUCUAUGGAUCGUAAACCUCUUUUAUAAGGGAAUAAAGUGCGGGACGUGUCCCGUUUUGUAUGUACCUUAUGAAUAAGGAUCGGCUAACUCCGUGCCAGCAGCCGCGGUAAUACGGAGGAUCCGAGCGUUAUCCGGAUUUAUUGGGUUUAAAGGGUGCGUAGGCGGCCUUUUAAGUCAGCGGUGAAAGUCUGUGGCUCAACCAUAGAAUUGCAGUUGAAACUGGGAGGCUUGAGUAUGUUUGAGGCAGGCGGAAUGCGUGGUGUAGCGGUGAAAUGCUUAGAUAUCACGCAGAACCCCGAUUGCGAAGGCAGCUUGCCAAGCCAUGACUGACGCUGAUGCACGAAAGCGUGGGGAUCAAACAGGAUUAGAUACCCGAGUAGUC
Molecule: ribosomal RNA, 460 nt
Filed under: uncultured bacterium
Lineage: Bacteria
Description: partial 16S ribosomal RNA
Rfam family: Bacterial small subunit ribosomal RNA
Source: RNAcentral